UACAGAGGUCCCAAGCGUUGUUCGGAUUCACUGGGCGUAAAGGGUGCGUAGGCGGUCGGGUAAGUCUGAGGUGAAAUCUCACAGCUUAACUGUGAAACUGCAUUGGAUACUAUCCGGCUCGAGGAAUGGAGGGGAGACUGGAAUACUUGGUGUAGCAGUGAAAUGCGUAGAUAUCAAGUGGAACACCAGUGGCGAAGGCGAGUCUCUGGACAUUUCCUGACGCUGAGGCACGAAAGCCAGGGGAGCAAACGGG
RNAcentral lists this ribosomal RNA (253 nucleotides) under uncultured bacterium. Its description in RNAcentral is "partial 16S ribosomal RNA". It matches the Rfam family "Bacterial small subunit ribosomal RNA", at positions 524 to 776 of the family's 1533-position model. The record is from RNAcentral.